CCCUUAGAUGUUCUGGGCCGCACGCGUGCUACACUGAGUAAUUCAAUGGGUAAGGGAACGCUAGAGCAUUACCUAAUCUUGAAAUUUGCUCGUGAUGGGGAUCGACGGUUGCAAUUUUCCGUCGUGAACGAGGAAUACCUUGUAGGCGCAUGUCAUCAUCAUGCGCCGAAUACGUCCCUGCCCUUUGUACACACCGCCCGUCGCUCCUAACGAUUGAGUGAUCCGGUGAGGCUCUGGGACCUGGACGGAAAGAGCGUUUCGCUUGUUCUGUUUGGGAAACUUGGUCGAACCUUAUCAUUUAGAGGAAGGAGAAGUCGUAACA
RNAcentral lists this ribosomal RNA (322 nucleotides) under uncultured eukaryote. Its description in RNAcentral is "partial 18S ribosomal RNA". It matches the Rfam family "Eukaryotic small subunit ribosomal RNA", at positions 1470 to 1796 of the family's 1831-position model. The record is from RNAcentral.